AGGGUCAAAUGUGGGGGAAGGGUGAAGGUGGGGGCUGCUGCUUUUGGUCUGUUAUAUAUUUAACAGGUGAGGCAGAGGGACCCGCCCCCACGGUUCAUCCCUCCUGGUGACCUUGCAGGGACAGGCGGCUGGUCCAGGAGAACGAAGUUGAUCCCGCUGCAGCAUCAGCAAAUGUUUCUGCAGCGAUGGCGUCCAGAGCUGCGGUUCUGUUGGACCUGACAGAUCUGUGGAUCGGUCCGCCUCGAAACAGGAAUCCCUUUAACGUCUAUUUUGAUCCAGUGUGUUGGACUCAAAGCAUCAUUGUCCUGAAGUGGUGCAUGUUGGUUAGAAAAGGGGGCGGGAACAGAGAAAGAAAAGAAAACCUGGAAAUCUGAAGCAAGGUGGGAACCGCACCAGCAGCCCUCUGCUGUCCACAGCUGUCUCAAAGUUUUCUAUCAUCUUAACUCUAUUUUGAAAAUGUCUGUCCAAGAGUAACACUAACAAUUUUCAAAUUAAAAGCACUCUUUGAAAGCAUUCCC
Oryzias latipes (Japanese medaka) is the source of this 518-nucleotide long non-coding RNA. RefSeq lists it as uncharacterized. The record is from RefSeq and is a predicted model, not a curated record. Lineage: Eukaryota; Metazoa; Chordata; Actinopteri; Beloniformes; Adrianichthyidae.